CAGUGGCCUGCCUUCACUCUCUAGUGGUGGUCCUAGUUGUGUGCAGCUGUGGCUCUUUUUGAUCUCUGGGAUGUGACCUGACUCAGAACCAUGGUCUGACAGGAAGGAAGACGUUGGUGCUUCUGGGCCAAAUGAAAUGGAUCUCCCCUUUCUUGUGUCUCAAGGACAGAAGAGACUUCAGGUUUCCCCUGGAGAUGUGUAUGACAGCCAGUUGCAGCAGGCCCAGGCCCUGUCUGUCCUCCAUGAGAUGCUGCAGCAGAUCUUCAGCCUCUUCCACACAGAGCGCUCCUCUGCUGCCUGGAACACGACCCUCCUGGACCAACUCCACACUGGACUUCAUCAGCAGCUGGAACACCUGGAGACCUGCUUGGUGCGGGCAGUGGGAGAGGGAGAAUCUGCUGGGUGAUUGGGAGCUCUACACUGGCCUUGAGAAGGUACUUCCAGAGAAUCUGUCUCUACCUGAAAGAGAAGAAACAGUGACUGUGCCUGGGAAGUUGUCAGAGUGGAAAUCAUGAGAUCCUUCUCUAUAUCAACAAACUCACAGGAAAGAUUGAGAAGUAAGAAUGGAGACAUGGAGUCA
This 580-nucleotide long non-coding RNA is filed under the name Homo sapiens (human). RNAcentral describes it as "non-protein coding lnc-IFNA8-2:1". The record is from RNAcentral. Lineage: Eukaryota; Metazoa; Chordata; Mammalia; Primates; Hominidae.